UUAAGUCAAGUAUGGAGUUGGAACGUUUGCCUACGUUUGCCGCUAGGGGCGCUGCUCCAACUGCAUACAAAUGUGAGUUA
Molecule: microRNA precursor, 80 nt
Filed under: Bombyx mori (domestic silkworm)
Lineage: Eukaryota; Metazoa; Arthropoda; Insecta; Lepidoptera; Bombycidae
Description: mir-2807 microRNA precursor family
Rfam family: mir-2807 microRNA precursor family
Source: Rfam by way of RNAcentral